RNAcentral lists this ribosomal RNA (497 nucleotides) under uncultured bacterium. RNAcentral describes it as "partial 16S ribosomal RNA". It matches the Rfam family "Bacterial small subunit ribosomal RNA", at positions 28 to 507 of the family's 1533-position model. The record is from RNAcentral.
GAUGAACGCUGGCGGCGUGCCUAAUACAUGCAAGUCGAGCGAACGGACGAGAAGCUUGCUUCUCUGAUGUUAGCGGCGGACGGGUGAGUAACACGUGGAUAACCUACCUAUAAGACUGGGAUAACUUCGGGAAACCGGAGCUAAUACCGGAUAAUAUUUUGAACCGCAUGGUUCAAAAGUGAAAGACGGUCUUUCUGUCACUUAUAGAUGGAUCCGCGCUGCAUUAGCUAGUUGGUAAGGUAACGGCUUACCAAGGCAACGAUGCAUAGCCGACCUGAGAGGGUGAUCGGCCACCCUGGAACGGAGACACGGUCCAGACUCCUACGGGAGGCAGCAGUAGGGAAUCUUCCGCAAUGGGCGAAAGCCUGACGGAGCAACGCCGCGUGAGUGCUGAAGGUCCUCGGAUCGUAAAACUCUGUUAUUAGGGAAGAACAUAUGUGUAAGUAACUGUGCACAUCUUGACGGUACCUAAUCAGAAAGCCACGGCUAACUACGUG